AAUAAAGCCGGAAUAGCUCAGUUGGUAGAGCAGAGGACUGAAA
Molecule: transfer RNA, 43 nt
Filed under: Pseudisothecium holtii
Lineage: Eukaryota; Viridiplantae; Streptophyta; Bryopsida; Hypnales; Lembophyllaceae
Description: partial tRNA-Phe
Source: RNAcentral